AUACGGAGGGUGCAAGCGUUACUCGGAAUCACUGGGCGUAAAGCGCGCGCAGGCGGCUAUUUAAGUUGGAUGUGAAAGCCUACGGCUCAACCGUAGAACUGCAUCCAAAACUAUUUAGCUAGAGUGUGGGAGAGGAAGAUGGAAUUAGUUGUGUAGGGGUAAAAUCCGUAGAGAUAACUAGGAAUACCAAAAGCGAAGGCAAUCUUCUGGAACACUACUGACGCUGAGGCGCGAAAGCGUGGGGAGCAAACGGGAUUAGAAACCCCAAGUAGUCC
Molecule: ribosomal RNA, 275 nt
Filed under: uncultured bacterium
Lineage: Bacteria
Description: partial 16S ribosomal RNA
Rfam family: Bacterial small subunit ribosomal RNA
Source: RNAcentral